GAUGAACGCUGGCGGCGUGCCUAACACAUGCAAGUCGAGCGAACAGACGCGAAGCUUGUUUCUCGGAUGUUAGCCGAGGACGUGUGUGUAACGCGUGGAUAACCUACCUAUAAGACUGGUAUGACUUCGGGAAACCGUAGCUUACACCGGAUGAUAUGUUUAACCGCAUGGUUCAUAAGUGAAAGACGUUCUUGCUGUCUCUGAUAGAUGGAUCCGCGCUGCAUUAGCUAGUUGUUAAGGUAACGGCCUACCAAGGCAACGAUGCGUAGCCGACCUGACCGGGGGAUCGCCGACACGGGAGCUGGGACAGCGACCCGGGUCCUACGAGAGGCAGCAGUAUGCAACGUGCGGCAAUGGGCGAGAGCCUGACGGAGCGACGCCGAGUGAGUGGUAGAGGCGUUCGGAUCGUGAUGCUCUGUUAUGAGGUAAAAACAUCUGUGUAAGGAGCAGUGGAGAUCGUGACGGUACCUAAAGAGGAAGCCACGGCUAACUACGUG
RNAcentral lists this ribosomal RNA (497 nucleotides) under uncultured bacterium. RNAcentral describes it as "partial 16S ribosomal RNA". It matches the Rfam family "Bacterial small subunit ribosomal RNA", at positions 28 to 507 of the family's 1533-position model. The record is from RNAcentral.